This 224-nucleotide ribosomal RNA is filed under the name uncultured prokaryote. Its description in RNAcentral is "partial 16S ribosomal RNA". It matches the Rfam family "Bacterial small subunit ribosomal RNA", at positions 524 to 747 of the family's 1533-position model. The record is from RNAcentral.
UACGAAGGUGGCAAGCGUUACUCGGAAUUACUAGGCGUAAAGGGCAGGUAGGUGGUCUGAUAAGUCUGUUGUGAAAGCUCCUGGCUUAACUGGGAGAGGUCAACAGAUACUGUCAGGCUUGAGUAUGGGAGAGGGUACUGGAAUUCCUGGUGUAGCGGUGAAAUGCGCAGAUAUCGGGAAGAACACCCGUGGCGAAGGCGGCUCUCUGGGACGGUACUGACGCU